CUAGUCAACCUUGGGCCAACUGUCUCCAAGAACUGGGACCAGCAGCCACUUUCCUGCAGGAGCCAGGCUUUUCCGGAAAGGCACCAGAGCUGUUUCCAGUGAACAGCCAUGCUCAUGGUCCUCAUCUCGUUCCUCGGGAUACAUUUUUACCGGGAUGUCCAAACACAGACAGUUUCCCAGUCUGAUGCCCAUGUCACCAUCUUCGAAGGAGACUCGGUGGAGCUGAGAUGCAACUAUUCCUAUGGUGGAUCCGUUUACCUCGCAUGGUAUAUCCAGCACCAUGGCCGUGGCCUCCAGUUUCUCCUCAAGUACUAUUCGGGAAGCCCAGUGGUUCAAGGAGUGAAUGGCUUCGAGGCUGAGUUCAUCAAGAGUAACUCUUCCUUCCACCUACGGAAAGCCUCUGUGCACUGGAGCGACUCUGCUGUGUACUUCUGUGCUCUGAGCGCACAGUGUGUGGGGCUGCAGGGGGAGCUGAGCACAAACCUGUAAGAUGCUGACGAGGAAACCGCAGCUCAGUGACUCUCAGUCAUUCAUGCUCAUCAUCCAUGGGAGCAACAUAAAUAAACUCACUGGUUCUCCAA
Non-coding RNA from Mus pahari (shrew mouse), 581 nucleotides. Lineage: Eukaryota; Metazoa; Chordata; Mammalia; Rodentia; Muridae. The record is from the annotation of a RefSeq genome assembly.